GGGUGAGUCGACCCCUAAGGCGAGGCCGAAAGGCGUAGUCGAUGGGAAACGGGUUAAUAUUCCCGUACUUGGUGUUACUGCGAAGGGGGGACGGAGAAGGCUAUGUUGGCCGGGCGACGGUUGUCCCGGUUUAAGCGUGUAGGUGUGUGUUCCAGGUAAAUCCGGUUCACUUUAACACUGAGGCGUGACGACGAGGCACUACGGUGCUGAAGCAACAAAUGCCCUGCUUCCAGGAAAAGCCUCUAAGCAUCAGGUAACAUCAAAUCGUACCCCAAACCGACACAGGUGGUCAGGUAGAGAAUACCAAGGCGCUUGAGAGAACUCGGGUGAAGGAACUAGGCAAAAUGGUGCCGUAACUUCGGGAGAAGGCACGCUGACACGUAGGUGAAGUGAUUUACUCACGGAGCUGAAGUCAGUCGAAGAUACCAGCUGGCUGCAACUGUUUAUUAAAAACACAGCACUGUGCAAACACGAAAGUGGACGUAUACGGUGUGACGCCUGCCCGGUGCCGGAAGGUUAAUUGAUGGGGUCAGCGCAAGCGAAGCUCCUGAUCGAAGCCCCGGUAAACGGCGGCCGUAACUAUAACGGUCCUAAGGUAGCGAAAUUCCUUGUCGGGUAAGUUCCGACCUGCACGAAUGGCGUAAUGAUGGCCAGGCUGUCUCCACCCGAGACUCAGUGAAAUUGAACUCGCUGUGAAGAUGCAGUGUACCCGCGGCAAGACGGAAAGACCCCGUGAACCUUUACUAUAGCUUGACACUGAACAUUGAGCCUUGAUGUGUAGGAUAGGUGGGAGGCUUUGAAGCGUGGACGCCAGUCUGCGUGGAGCCGACCUUGAAAUACCACCCUUUAAUGUUUGAUGUUCUAACGUGGACCCGUGAUCCGGGUUGCGGACAGUGUCUGGUGGGUAGUUUGACUGGGGCGGUCUCCUCCUAAAGAGUAACGGAGGAGCACGAAGGUUGGCUAAUCCUGGUCGGACAUCAGGAGGUUAGUGCAAUGGCAUAAGCCAGCUUGACUGCGAGCGUGACGGCGCGAGCAGGUGCGAAAGCAGGUCAUAGUGAUCCGGUGGUUCUGAAUGGAAGGGCCAUCGCUCAACGGAUAAAAGGUACUCCGGGGAUAACAGGCUGAUACCGCCCAAGAGUUCAUAUCGACGGCGGUGUUUGGCACCUCGAUGUCGGCUCAUCACAUCCUGGGGCUGAAGUAGGUCCCAAGGGUAUGGCUGUUCGCCAUUUAAAGUGGUACGCGAGCUGGGUUUAGAACGUCGUGAGACAGUUCGGUCCCUAUCUGCCGUGGGCGCUGGAGAACUGAGGGGGGCUGCUCCUAGUACGAGAGGACCGGAGUGGACGCAUCACUGGUGUUCGGGUUGUCAUGCCAAUGGCACUGCCCGGUAGCUAAAUGCGGAAGAGAUAAGUGCUGAAAGCAUCUAAGCACGAAACUUGCCCCGAGAUGAGUUCUCCCUGAGACUUAAAGUCUCCUGAAGGAACGUUGAAGACGACGACGUUGAUAGGCCGGGUGUGUAAGCGCAGCGAUGCGUUGAGCUAACCGGUACUAAUGAACCGUGAGGCUUAACCUUAC
Molecule: ribosomal RNA, 1572 nt
Filed under: Salmonella enterica
Lineage: Bacteria; Pseudomonadati; Pseudomonadota; Gammaproteobacteria; Enterobacterales; Enterobacteriaceae
Description: partial 23S ribosomal RNA
Rfam family: Bacterial large subunit ribosomal RNA
Source: RNAcentral